UACGUAGGGCGCAAGCGUUGUCCGGAAUUAUUGGGCGUAAAGAGCUCGUAGGCGGUCUGUCACGUCGGCUGUGAAAACCCGGGGCUCAACCCCGGGCCUGCAGUCGAUACGGGCAGACUAGAGUGUGGUAGGGGAGACUGGAAUUCCUGGUGUAGCGGUGAAAUGCGCAGAUAUCAGGAGGAACACCGGUGGCGAAGGCGGGUCUCUGGGCCAUAACUGACGCUGAGGAGCGAAAGCGUGGGGAGCGAACAGG
RNAcentral lists this ribosomal RNA (253 nucleotides) under uncultured bacterium. RNAcentral's name for it is "partial 16S ribosomal RNA". It matches the Rfam family "Bacterial small subunit ribosomal RNA", at positions 524 to 776 of the family's 1533-position model. The record is from RNAcentral.